GCUCGUUAGCUCCCCUCAAGCCACCUGCAAGCUGCUCGGUCCACUCGUAGCUUCAUGUCGGCGGAUCCCCGUCGAUUCACUCGACACAAACCAUGGCUGGCUGUGCAGUUCAUUGAACUAACAGACCGUCUCACAGCUCUGUUGUCAAGUUCUUCCGUUUUCCUCUAGGUGAUCCUGAGAGGCUAGACCUGUGGGUGAUCAACAUGAAGAGACCGAACUGGAUUCCGAGCCUCUGCAGUCAACACUUGAGAGACAACACUUGAGCAAUGACAAAAGGGUGACUCAGACAGCCUGCACCAGUGGAUGUCCAACAUGAGGAGACAGAACAGGACUCCAACAAGACUGAACACUAAGUUUCAUCACCUAUGCACUGACUCCAGGGACGGACGAGCCUGAAGGACUCAGCUGUGCUGACGGUGUUCUGUCUCUUAUGGGGAAUUAGAAAAAUAAAGCACUGGGUUUUUAUCUAAAUUGUAUCAAAUCAGAUUGUAAAAGAUAAUAAUUUUUUUAACCAACCAUAAUGAAUAUAGAAAUUAAAUCUAUUAUCCAUGAUACAUAGCAAUGAUUGCCAACUCUAGACAGUUGCAGGCCAUCUUUAGUUGAGGGAGAAAACGUGAAGUGUUGGGCCGAUGAAGCUUGUGCAGGUCGUCCUCGUGAUGACCAGCCUGAAGCUGCCGAUCUCCAUCAUGUUGCUGCUGAGGACAGAUCCGGUGCUGCAGUGCUUCAGCUAAUGAAAAGAAGAAACUCAUUAUAAAAUAAUGUCUUAUGUUGUGUAUGUUCCAGCAAAGACUGGUUCUUACAGUUUAUUCUGUGUUCAGCACCACAGAUUUCAGACAGAACCGAUGUACUGGGCUCUGGGUUUGUACCCUCAUAGUUGAACCACAUGUUGUAAGUAAGUUUGGAUCAAAGUGUCAGCCAAAUGAAAUGUAAUGUACUGACAGAAAUAAAACAUAGUACAAGUAGAUAAAAUGUAUUUCUACCUCAUCUGUAAUAUUCAAGGUGAUA
Long non-coding RNA from Platichthys flesus (European flounder), 1005 nucleotides. RefSeq lists it as uncharacterized. The record is from RefSeq and is a predicted model, not a curated record. Lineage: Eukaryota; Metazoa; Chordata; Actinopteri; Pleuronectiformes; Pleuronectidae. The transcript is spliced from 4 exons.